RNAcentral lists this ribosomal RNA (548 nucleotides) under uncultured bacterium. RNAcentral describes it as "partial 16S ribosomal RNA". It matches the Rfam family "Bacterial small subunit ribosomal RNA", at positions 355 to 896 of the family's 1533-position model. The record is from RNAcentral.
UGGGGAAUUUUGGACAAUGGGCGCAAGCCUGAUCCAGCCAUGCCGCGUGCGGGAAGAAGGCCUUCGGGUUGUAAACCGCUUUUGUCAGGGAAGAAAUCUUCUGAGUUAAUACCUCGGGAGGAUGACGGUACCUGAAGAAUAAGCACCGGCUAACCACGUGCCAGCAGCCGCGGUAAUACGUAGGGUGCAAGCGUUAAUCGGAAUUACUGGGCGUAAAGCGUGCGCAGGCGGUUUUGUAAGACAGAGGUGAAAUCCCCGGGCUCAACCUGGGAACUGCCUUUGUGACUGCAAGGCUUGAGUGCGGCAGAGGGGGAUGGAAUUCCGCGUGUAGCAGUGAAAUGCGUAGAUAUGCGGAGGAACACCGAUGGCGAAGGCAAUCCCCUGGGCCUGCACUGACGCUCAUGCACGAAAGCGUGGGGAGCAAACAGGAUUAGAUACCCUGGUAGUCCACGCCCUAAACGAUGUCAACUGGUUGUUGGGAAGGUUCCUUCUCAGUAACGUAGCUAACGCGUGAAGUUGACCGCCUGGGGAGUACGGCCGCAAGGUUG